UCAAUAUGUCCAUCUCUCCAGUUUCACUCCUUGGUGCAGAAAAACAGCAUGGCUUAGAUCACUUGUCUAUCGCGCACAUAAGAUAUGCAGUAACAGCGUGUUACUCAAAACUGAACUGCAGAACAUUGCCCAAUUUGCGUCAUGGAAUGGUUACCCCCGUCGUCUGGCAAAUAAACUCAUAGAGUCCUUCACACUAAAGCCAAGCCCGAUUGACAACACCAUCAUCACCAUCAACACCGAAGACAGUGUCACAGACCCUCCCAAGAUCUGGAUUCAUCUACCAUUCAUUGGUAAAAGAGGAAACACGUUAAUUAAAUCCUGCACCACUAAACUAACACGCUUGCUGAAACGACGCGCUCAAUUCAUCAUUAUUUACGACACCACCAGCACUAACACCUUCCUAAGCAUGAAAGACCGGACUCCUAAAGAACUACAAAGCAGUGUAGUUUACAAAUUUAGUUGCCCUGGAUGUAAAGCUUCCUACAUCGGAAAGACAGAUCGCUGUCUGAUGACAAGGCUAAAAGAGCAUGCCCGCAGUAAAGAAUCAGAGAUUUACAAACACAUAAAUUCAUGCGAACACUUCCUGUAUUAUAGAACGCUAUUUAGUCUUCCUCAUACACUAUUUAAUCUAGACGACUUCACUUCUGAAUCAAUUAUUUUCAACAACUGUAGGAUAAUAGACAAAUCCAGACAUUGGUCUUUAUUACUUUUUAAAGAAUCUCUAUAUAUUCAUCGCCAGAGACCGGAAGCUAAACUGACUGCAAGCUAGUCGAAACGUCGAAUCAAAAUGUUAACCGUUUUCGGAGUGUCCAUUGUUUUGUAUUUUUUAGAAAGCAAUAUGUAAAAUAUAACGGAGUACAAUCUGAAGAAAUGACUAUCACAAGCGGUGUGCCACAAGGAUCAGUUUUAGGUCCUGUAUUAUUUCUCUUAUACAUAAAUGAUAUUCAAUAUUGCAGUAAAUUGGUUUCAAUUAUAUUAUUUGCCGAUGACACUAACAUACUGUAUAGCGAUGUUUGUCUCAAAACUUUAAACGAAACUAUUUAAGUUGAAAUGAACAAAAUUACAGAUUGGUUGAAUGUUAAUAAAUUAUCUAUAAACACUGCGAAAACCAAGCUGAUCCUUUUCAGAUCAAAAAAUAAGAAACCUAAAUGUGAUUUAAGAAUUUCUGUAAAUAGCGAAACUAUAAAACAAGUAAAAAAAACUACGUUUUUUAGGGAUUGUUAUAGAUGAAUUUUUAUCAUGGUGCGAUCAUAUAGAUCUUAUUUCAAAAACAAUUAUCAAAUGUACAGCUAUUAUAUCCAGAAUACGACAUUUUACAAACCUAAAUUCCUUAUAAAACUGACCUAUUACGCAUUGGUCUAUCCAUAUCUUAUAUACUGUAAUUUAGUUUGGGGUAACGCUUACAAAUCCCACAUUCAAAAAUUAGUAAAUAUCCAGAAAAAGAUAGUAAGAUUAAUGACCUUCAAAUCCUAUUUUGACUGAACUGAAAUGAACCAAUUUUUAAUGACCUUAAAAUACUAAACUUGUAUAAGUUGAAUGACUUCUUAACAAGUCUAUUUAUGUUCCGAUCUCUGUGUUCCGAUAUUUUCAUCUACAAAAUCUUCCAGAAAUUUUUGAUAAAUAUUUUUUAACUAACAAAUAAAUCCAUAAUUACAACACAAGAAACGCAUCAUUGCUCCACAAAAGUUGUACUAGAACAAAUUAUAAAAAACACACGUUCGGUAAUAACGGCAUCGAUGUGUGGAAUAAUCUUCCGACGCAAUAUAAGCAAAUUAGAUCUCUUCUAAUAUUUAAAUCUACAAUGAAAAUAUAUUUUCUUCUGUCAAAUUUAAAUAAGUAGAAUUCUUGCCACAAAGUGAAAAGCCAAAUAAUUGUUAUAGUCUGAUAUAUCUUUUACGCACUUUCCUUAUUGUAAAUAUAUUACCGUAAUUCCUUUGAAAACAAUUGGACUGGUAUUAACUUUUAUAAAAUAACAUGUAUAUAACGCGUGUUCUGAUUGGUCGAAACCCGUGUUUGGAUCAGGCCAUCCAAACACGGAAGACUAUCGUGUUGUUGUUAUUUUAUAAAACAAUUACUUUAUGGUUUCCGUGUUUGGAUGGCCUGAUCCAAACACUUGGGAAUGUUGCUCAAGUUAAGAAAAGCGGGCAAAAUCACUCGCCUUCGGCUCGUGCUUUCGCUCGCUUUUCUUAACUCUCGCAACAUUCCCGCGUGUUUGGAUCAGGCCAUCCAAACACGGAAACCAUAAAGUAAUUGUAUAUUAAUAUUAUAUUAUUUGAAUUGUAACUAGGGACCUUAAUUAAACAAAAGCCUUAUGGUUUCUAGAAGGUUCCUAGCCCUACUAUUGUAAAUAUUUUCUAUUUAAAUUGUUAAUUUUAUAAACUGAUUUGGGCGAAUAGAUUAAAUAAAUAAAUAAAUAAUAACCUCCUCCGCAGGUAACUCUUUGGCAAAAAUCUAAAUAUUAAAAAAUUGGCAAAAAUGUGAAUAUUAUAGGCCCUUUAUCCCUAGUGAUCCCUAAGAAUCCCUAACUUUAAAUUCGUUGUUAUGACCCAUUGCACAUGACUUCACAGCGCAGGUGAUGAUGCAUCUGGAGGACAAAUUAGCAAUCUAUGCAUGAUAGGCUAUAACUUUUGUAAACGAAGCAAAUUUUGUAAAAGUUAAAAAAAAUUGUAUUAAAAUGGUUAAUUUUUGCGCUGUAUGUGGUUGUUGUACCCAAACAGAUAUUAUUAGGGAGCAUCUGGAAGACACUCUAAGGAUUUGUGACGUCAGUGCAAUGGGGCUAUUCAUAAUCCUUUUGCCGGUUUUUGCCAAAGAGUUGCCCUCGGAGGAGACUACCACGGGAAGUUGUUUUUGUAUUUUUAUCUACAAAGAAAACGCCAGUUUUUUUAUUAUAAUUCUAAACUUUUCAAAACUCGAACAGUACGUAUGUUGUUAACUAUAGUUUUUAAUCUACCUUUCAGUGCAGGUGUGCAUAUAUUUUUAAUUAAUAUAUAUUUAAUACGUUCAGUACUGUAUUUCAUAAUGCUCACAAUGUUCAACAACAACGUGACGGACUGAAAUGAUAUUUUAUAUUGUCUUCAAGGCACUCCUGAACUGUCACUGAAACUUAGUAAAAACGUACCUGUUAUUCAACCCAGUUCACAUGUAGCUUUUUUAUCUGCUGAAUCCCUACCUCCUCCGCAGGCGCUUAGGGAGCAUUUCGGGCAGGUUCGGAAAAUCCCUGAUCUCAAAUUUCACGCCCGCAAACUAUUCCCGCCCGCAUCGAAAGGCCUGCGGAGGAGGUAGGCUGAAUCCAAUAAAGCUACGUUUACACGCUGCGAUUAAUCGUGUACGAUUCGUUUUCUGGCGUAUGUAAUUGAGUAAACACGCGUAAGCUGGCUACAUUUGAAAUUUCUUUUUAACGAAACGGCAAUGAAUUAUGGCACCAGCACUCAUUUUAAUACUCCAGAAUACGAAUCGUACACGAUUAAUCGUAGCGUGCAAACGUAGCUUAAAACUAUAGUGCAGACAGUUACGAGUUGUUUUAUAUGAACAGUCAAACUCUAUUUGAAUGUUUUGAAAAGUUUUCACACCGAUUUUCACAACAAAACUAAAUUUAAGAAACGUUGCGUUUAUUGUGUUCUCAAUUUUUCGUUUUUGAACAUAUAUUUUCAUUUCAAAUAAGUAAAAAAUAUCUUUGUGAUACAUAUAAGCCAGCAAAAACUAAAAGUGAAAAUUACUAAAAAAGCCAACUAUAAACCGUACACGUUUCGUGAAGUUUCGUGUUCCUCAUGCAUUAUAAUUUACACGCAUGCGCAAAUAGUGAUCAUGUCAAAUUGAUAUUUUGUCACGUCAACAGCUUCAACUGGACUUUAGGACUAUUUUCCUCGCGUUUCCUUCUGGUGAAUUUUUUUUAAACUUUUGCACACUUGCUAAGCAUGAUGAGUACUCAAACAUAUCAAAAUUUCAAGAAAUUCUACAAGACGGAUUUUUUGUAGUCGUUAUUCAUGAAUAUUUCAAAAACUGCCUUGUAAACAUCCCUUCAAAUUAUAAUAUGUCAUUCCUCUUUGAACCAUAAAUCUUAAGAAAAAAUUCAGAAAAAUUGACCGAAGGAAAAAAAAGAUAUUGCCGUUUGAUUGUAAAAUUAGACAAUAAUAUAAAAGUGCAACAGAUGAAACGUCAUGGUUGCCAUGGCAACAUUAACACUGUUUUUAUUUAUUCAUAUAUCGACAGCAUGAGACUUUCCUGGAAAUGAACUUUCCUGGAAAUGAUUAUAUUUCCCUGUCUUAAGUGUAUUCAAUAUAAAUUUGGUUGAAAACGAAGGUUACUUAAAAUACUUAAAAUUUUAGAAAACUGUAGGGAGCCACCAAAGGAUUCAAAAGGAGAGUUCUACCAACAAAAUUCUCAAGUAUUUGUAAUUUCACGCAAAAUACCGCUGGAAUAUCUCGGGCUCCUUAUACAAUAACAUCUUGGAAUACAGGACGACCGAGCCGGAUUUUUGAGGGUGCACGUGGACGAAGGGUGGAGGACUGGGUGGAGGAAGGGCGGAGGAAGGGUGGAGGAAGGGUGGAGGAAGGGUGGAGGAAGGGUACCGCAAUGACGUCACCAUUAUGUCUCAUUAUGUCUUAUUAUGCACGCAAUGGAGUACGUCAUAAUAGACGCGUAAGAAGAGGGAAAUAUGAGGUUAUAUAAAAUUUAAUUUUAUUCGUUUUUCAUAUGAUUUUCAUGUCGAGUAAACUAUGACGUCAUGGUGGCCGAAUGGUAAUGGCGUUAGGUUGUAAUGUCCCAAAGAAAGGGGUUCGAGUCCCUUACUUGGCAAACAUUUAUUUAUCAAAAUAAGUUUAGUUGACAAUAUAAGCCCAAUAUAAUCGUAUCCGUGUGUAUGCAACUUUCUGCAAAGGAGGACACUUAUUUUGUACUAAAGUAUAUAUACAAAUAAUAAAUACUGACAAUUAUUUGAUAUUUUUAUCGGCGUCAUAAAGAAAGCACAGGCUUCACAUGUAUAAUGCUAUAAUCAUAUAUCUCUCGAAGCUUUUUGAAGGUUAUAUAAUCAUCCUCCUCCGUAGGCAACUCGAUGGAAAACAAUGGCGAAAUUUACGCAACAUUUAGCAGAUUGAGAGCUGGUGAGGGGCGUGGCAGUAAUUAAAAAGUCUGGUAAUCUCAUGAUCGCCUGUUACUCCUAUCAUUUCUCUAUUCUCAUUUCUCUGUGUAAUUCUGCCUUUGGCCAUGGAGUUGCCUCUGGACGAGGCUAAGGUUAUGUAAAUCAGGACAAAAUCUGUAAUUUACAAAUAUUGAGUAAACAUUCAACUUUUUUAAUUUUCUUUAAUCAUUGUUCUAAAGUCACUUACAAACCUCGUUUCAUCAUUGUAAAGCUUGUUUUUCACCAGGCGAACUUGUUUGCGCAAAGCGAACACUGAGUGAAUAAUGUGUUCGUUUUCAAGUUUCUCGACGAAUUGUUUUUCGCAGAUGCCAAUCACAUUUAAAAGCCCUUUUAUACUCGCUUUGUUAAGUAUACUAUUAUAUAGUAUCAUGUGAAAAUAUAUUCAUGUGGUAGAUGAGCAUUCGACAUUACAGU
Non-coding RNA from Paramuricea clavata, 5551 nucleotides. The record is from the annotation of a GenBank genome assembly. NCBI's taxonomy places the organism in Eukaryota, Metazoa, Cnidaria, Anthozoa, Malacalcyonacea, Plexauridae.